AUGAAACCUUAUGUUGGUACAACUGCAGUUAUCAAUGAGAGUGACUUCACCUUCACCCAAAUAUGUAACGUUCCACAAACCCACACCUGUGUUAUCAACCAUACCUUAGGACAGAAGGAACGAGUUUGCGGAAAGGAUGUGGCACUUGCCAGUAAUUCACACAUGCUGACAGGUAAGUUCUGUGUAUUUUUUUGUGUACAUUUUCAUACUUCUUUCAGCCAAAAUACUACAUAAAGUCAUAAUGCAUAAAAUUUAACUGCAGUAUUCCUUUACUUUUAUUUCAUUUUUUUGGCUCUUUUCCAUUUAUCUGGCAGAAUUAUAUAUGAGGCCAAAUCUUUAAAUUCUUUGCAGUUUUCUCUUUGGAUUUACAGCACAAGUCUGUUGAUUAUUACAUAUCAGUCACUAUUAAUAUAAGACAAACAUUAAAGAAAUGGCAAAGGGGCAGUUACAAGAAAAAUGCUGCAGAACAAUGCAUGGUAUUUCUCUUCCCACAUUCUAACGCAAUCCAUCACAGCCAAGAUCUUCACAAUCUGUAGGGAUCUCAGAGAAUUGUGGGUAUUUUUUUCUUUUUUCUUUUUUUUCUUUUCUGAUUGUAUCUUUUCUGCACAGUUGAAAAACACUUCAGUGUUUUGUUUGUUGGCUUUUUUAUCUUAAAGACAGGAUCCAUGGUACCUGAUGAAAUGUACAGAGUCACAUUUCAAUAUAAAUAUGUAAUUACUAACAAACACAUUUGGUAAUACCAAGCCUUCUUAUUGGAAACCCACUCCAGUGCUGCUUAUUACUUGGCAUUUGUAGACUCUCCUACAUUACUUUCUAAUGGCUUUAUAUGGGUACUUCAAAUGGAUUUGAAUUUUUAAAAGCAAGUAUCACAUCAUAUACAUCUCUGAUAUGCCUACAUCAUCACAUUGUACAGUUCUGGCAUACAAUGGAUGUCAAUAAUAAAUAUUAAAAGUACAUAGUUGUUGUUACCAUUAUUAUCAAUUACUAUGGUAUCAUUACACAUUAGCUUAUGAAGUUAAGUGUAGGUAGCAAACAAAAGUCAAAUUAUAAAUUCCUAAAAAGAAUACAUCUUUGGUCAUGGAUUUUUACUCAUACAUUUUAAUAUAUUUUGUUUGUCAGUUAUGGAUCUCAAGGAAUUCACUCUCUUAUCUUUCCCCACUUCAAUGACAUUCAUCUAUUCUCUCAUUACUAAAAUACUACAGUAGUUCAACUUUGGAUAGAUUUGCUGCCUGAUGCCCUCACCUAUGUGAAACAAAGGAGGCAAGUGUAUUAAAGAGUUAUUAGCAGGUACAGCAGGUAUGGCAAAAACCAUGCGUUUCAUUCAUGAAAGGGCACUGCCCACUCAGAUAUUAUUUAUUCAUUGUUUGCACAAAUAUAACAACAUUAGAACUGCAAUAAAUUCAAACUAGGGAAGAUAUAUAUACUCUGAAAAAAGAAGUGAGGCCUGUUAGCUUUGUAGCAAAAGAAAGGACUCAAAAUGAACCUGUAUGAAACAGACAUAACUGAAAGAGCGGCUUUGUCUUUGUUCAUUUUCUAAAAAUAGGCUGCACCUUUCAGCUAGUUUCUAAGGCAGCAUUGUAGUACAUCACAGUUAAAUAAUUGAAAAUUUUUUGUACAGGCUUUGAGUCUACAAGGAUAAGUUAAAUUAUUAUAAUUUGUAUUUCUUUAGUGAUGUUGCAGGGAAUAAAAUACUUUCCCAAUCAGACAUUCCUACUUUUUAGGCCAAUGAGUUCAUGAAAUUUGACCUAAAAACAUUUAAAACAAAUAUAAGUGAUAUCCAAACAACUGAAGAAAUCCAAGUGUUUCAUAGUGAAGAGAGAUUUACUAAAAGACGGUGCAUCAUCUCAGUGGAACAUGAUGUAAUCAUUUAUGUGAUAAUUUUGAAAACUAUAUAAAAACAAGGGCUAAUGUUAACAGUGUUAAGUAAAUAAUGAGUAUGGAUUCCACAUGGACAUAUGAUUGGUUAUCAUGAUGUAAAAGAAGCUUAUUUGCCAAUAAAUAUUGGGAUGAAACAGCAGCAGCACUGGCAGAGCACAGCAGCCAUACGCACAGAUCUGGAGCCACAUUUCCUGAGUUCUGUUUCCAGGUUUGUUGCUUUUCAGUUGCCUUACCUUGAGCAAAUUAUGAAACUUAUGUCUUUCUGUUUACUCAUCUGACAAACAAGGAUGGAGUGUUUUCUUCCAAUGGCUGUUGUAAGGAUUUUUGUUUUUACAUGAGAUCUUGUAUAUAUUAAAUACUAAGAACAAUGCCUGGAACAUAGUAUUACUAUGUGUGCUGUUAAUUUUUUUAAGUAGUCAUGUUAUAUUGGUGAGAAUAAAGGAGAAUUUUAUGUUGUUUCUAGGUAAAGUAAAUUAAAAUAAAAGAUUGCAUCAUGUGAGAGAACUCUAUUUAAAAAAUCGAGGAAUUACACAAAUAAUUCAAAAAGUAUUUUUAAAGAUAAUGAUCAAAAUGAAAUAUUUUUGGAUUCUGAAAGAGAUACAACUCACCUAUAUGGAAAAUUCUACUAAUUGAUAAUUUUCUAAAAUAUCUGGAUAGUCAAGACUUUGUUAUUUUUAAUUAUUUCACUCUUGUUUACAAAUUGC
This 2582-nucleotide long non-coding RNA is filed under the name Macaca mulatta (Rhesus monkey). RNAcentral's name for it is "lncRNA (ENSMMUG00000060901.1)". The record is from RNAcentral. Lineage: Eukaryota; Metazoa; Chordata; Mammalia; Primates; Cercopithecidae.